This 833-nucleotide long non-coding RNA is filed under the name Pan troglodytes (chimpanzee). RNAcentral's name for it is "lincRNA". The record is from RNAcentral. Lineage: Eukaryota; Metazoa; Chordata; Mammalia; Primates; Hominidae.
CUAUGAUCUACAGUGCCCAUUCCAACUCAGAGAAUCUUUACAUCUGGAGAUCUAUAGCAGGGCUAUCCCUAGUGACAUGCGUGAAGAAGCUUGGAAAUGGUGCUGGGUAGGAGCUGAGUGUGCAGAAUGUGGAAAGGCAUUCUAAACCAAAGGAAGAACACGAGUAAAGAUGAUGAAGCAGGGAUAAGGCUAAAAUGAAAUUUGUGAUCUGAUCCACAUACAAGCACAGUGUAGUACAGCUGGAAUAUAGAGAAGAGCUUGAAGACUUAUGAGCAACUAUCCCGGUACUCUUGGAGGCUCUGCAACCACAGUUUGAGAAACUCCGCGUUCAAAGUUAAAAACUGUCACCUGAAUAGUUAAUAACAUCAAAGAUUGUGAAAGCAAGUAUAAAUAACACAGAGAUUAAAAUAAUGAGGCAGGAUCAGAAAGCCCUUGGAACAGGAGAAAGGGUUGGAAAACAAAGAUCACUUUUCUCUGGCCAAAUGGAAUCACCCAACAAAGUACCUUCCUGAUAGGCCAGCUAUUUCAGAUGAUGAAGGUUUAAGAAGCGGCAUCAUCAGAGAACUGUGUUUUGAAGAUUUGAGGGAAGGGCUGACCUCAGGAUUUUAUACUAGUUGCUGACCUCCAUAACAGCAGACAAAAUUGGAAGCAAGAGUGAUUUUGGAGGAGUCACACUUAGAUGUUUCCCUUACCUAUUUCUGUUCUGGAAAUUUAAAAAUCUUACUUCUCAUGACAGUCCUACAUGAAAAAUUAAAAAUCACAAGGAUUCACGGAUGGAAAACUGAGACUCAGAGAAUGAUCACAUUCACAUCGUAAUAAAUCAGCAAUAGAGU